Molecule: long non-coding RNA, 1955 nt
Organism: Temnothorax curvispinosus
Lineage: Eukaryota; Metazoa; Arthropoda; Insecta; Hymenoptera; Formicidae
Exons: 6
Source: RefSeq, a predicted model, not a curated record
AAUCAUAUUUGAUGCCCGAUGAGGUGAUCUCAUCACGAAUGUUCUUGACAAAGAUAUCACAUUUAACGUAUAUGUGGAUUGUGGUGGCGGUCACCAUGCAGCAGCCGUGCAUUGGCGCUAUUUUUGCAAGAUUUGCAGUUUUCGGUAUGUAUAAAUGGUCUACGAGGAUUCUAGAGCGCAGUCAAGAGUUUGAUACGGUUCGAGUACGUCGCAAACACUCUCCAGAUACGAUGAACACUCACGGUGCGAAUUAUUACGUUCCGAUUGAAAAUGAGUCGUGUACGAAACAGCAUAAUGAUUUUGAUAAACCCCGUUGUAUGCCACGUAUUUUGGGAAGGAGAUUUGCCUUGACAUCUACAGCUUACAAAUAUUUGGAUGUGGGAAUCAACGUGGGACCUAUGUCCUUUGUGGAUAUACUUAUUGGCGAUAAUCGAGGAAAUCAGAUAGUGUUAAGGUGGAAGCACAUAAAAUUACAGGAGCCAUAGGCAGAAUGCAGAAGCCAUAGCGCAUGCGCUGUGGUAUUACUUUAUCUGCCUAUAGCAGAAUGGCAGAUAUCAUAGCGCAUGCGCUAUGGUUUCUGUAUUCUGCCCAUGGCUCCUGGAUUUUCAAUCUACAUAAAAAUACAUAAUGCAUAGCCACAGGCAUAGGCACAUACAUUCUCCUUGUAGUCGGUCCUUCUAGAAAAGUGAUCAAGAACAAAGAACGGAUUUAUAUUGAUUAACACGCUCAGAGCUCCGCGACUAACAAGACGCAAGCAAACUCGAAUCAAGACGCGUCGAAAGCUAAAUCGGCGCAAGAUCCGAAGACGGAUAGCGAGACGUCGUCGAGUCCGAGGCGAUCACCAGAAAUUGUAAUUUAUUGUAAAAUAAACGCAUCUCAUACUUUUCGAAAUGGAUGAUUACGAUUUGUUGUUAAUUGCUCUGGUCAACAUGGGAGCACUUUUGGUGCAACGUCGUAGAAACCGUGAACGUCAUCGUCGCCGCCGCGCCGUCGGCGUGUCUGGGUACGACCAAUUAACACAAGGAGAAGACAGCAAGGAGCGUUUUACAAUCUUUUUCAGGAGAUGAAAACAGAUGAGCAAAUGUUCCACAAGUAUACACGUAUGACACUGCCAACAUUCCAGCACUUGAUGGACAUUGUUAAUCCAAGUUUAAUUAAACGAAGUCCACGGGCACUUGAACCAGAGCAAAGAGUUGCUUUUACAUUGCGAUUUCUGAUUGGAGGCAAAGUUCCAGCAGUUGCUUUUGCCUAUCGUGUUGGUUUAUCAACAGUACAUAAAAUAAUUAAAGAGACGUGUGACGUAUUUGAAAGACUUUCUUGGUCCUAUCUAUCAACGAACUCCUUCAAGAGAAGAAUAUUUACAAAUUGCUGAGGGUUUUUGGACAUUAUGGAAUUUUCCACAUUGCUUGGGGGCAAUUGAUGGAAACCGUGUCAAUGCUCAAUGCCCCCCUAAUUCUGGGAAGAACAGUGAUGCGGGAAUUUAUGGGAACAGCUACUUGAAUGUGACAAAUGAGAUGCUGGAUAUUCCAGAAGAAACCAGUUGCUUAAGCGGAACCGAUAUACAAGUGCCUUAUUUUUUUAUUGGGGAUGAAGCAUUCCCCAUUGGAAAGCAUUUGAUGCGGCCAUAUGCUGGACGGUAUUUGGGGGAACGCAAAAACAUAUUUAAUUAUAGACUUUCGCGAGCCCGGCGUAUAAUAGAAAAUACAUUUGGGAUUUUGGCAAAAAAGUGGGGUAUAUAUAACAGACCGAUCGCUGCGAUUCCUGAAAAUAUCAAUAAAUAUAUUUUGGCAACUGUAUGUUUGCACAAUUUCUUAAGAAACAAAGAAGGUAAUAUUUUACAAUUUGAAAACAAUGAUGAAAUUAUUGAAAAUAACGAAAAUGGUGCAUUUGCGACGCACAUUAAAGACUCUCUUUGCAAUUAUUUUAUGACCCCAAAUGGAAUAGUCAAUUAGCAG